AAACAAAGGUGAUAGAAUUUGAAAUGAAGAUUCACACGCAACUGGUUUCAUAUUUUUUUGAAUUUUCUACGAUUUUCUAGGGAUUUUACAAGUCAGCAGCAUCACUUCACACGAAAUAUCAAGCACCCUUACAUACAGGUCCUCGAACUGUACUGUUCCUAUGGGUCUACACUUCGCAGAAAACACCCUGGGUUUGCCUUAAUUGCUGCACGAGGUCCCUUAUCUGCAACAAAAUAGAGGAGACGCAGGGAUUGAUUCCAUGGGGAAAAGA
RNAcentral lists this long non-coding RNA (271 nucleotides) under Panicum hallii. Its description in RNAcentral is "long non-coding RNA (PHAL_LNC000623)". The record is from RNAcentral. Lineage: Eukaryota; Viridiplantae; Streptophyta; Magnoliopsida; Poales; Poaceae.